GAGAUACUCCUCCGGGGCAAGACUUGCUUCAAUGGGGCUUUGGUGCUCACUGAGUCUGCCCCCUGAGUGUGUCUUU
Myotis davidii is the source of this 76-nucleotide non-coding RNA. The record is from Rfam. NCBI's taxonomy places the organism in Eukaryota, Metazoa, Chordata, Mammalia, Chiroptera, Vespertilionidae.